Molecule: ribosomal RNA, 253 nt
Filed under: uncultured bacterium
Lineage: Bacteria
Description: partial 16S ribosomal RNA
Rfam family: Bacterial small subunit ribosomal RNA
Source: RNAcentral
UACGAAGGGGGCUAGCGUUGUUCGGAAUUACUGGGCGUAAAGCGCGCGCAGGCGGUCCUUCAAGUCAGGGGUGAAAGCCCAGAGCUCAACUCUGGAACUGCCCUUGAGACUGUGGGACUAGGGUGUGGGAGAGGUGAGUGGAAUUCCGAGUGUAGAGGUGAAAUUCGUAGAUAUUCGGAAGAACACCGGUGGCGAAGGCGGCUCACUGGCCCAUUACCGACGCUCAGGCGCGACAGCGUGGGGAGCAAACAGG